UUAACUUAAAUUUGUAUGGAGUUGGACAGCUACCUUUCGUUUGCCGCUAGGGGCGCUGAUCCAACUCCAUACAAAUUUGAGUUA
This 84-nucleotide microRNA precursor is filed under the name Bombyx mori (domestic silkworm). RNAcentral's name for it is "mir-2807 microRNA precursor family". It matches the Rfam family "mir-2807 microRNA precursor family". The record is from Rfam by way of RNAcentral. Lineage: Eukaryota; Metazoa; Arthropoda; Insecta; Lepidoptera; Bombycidae.